GCUCAGGAUGAACGCUGGCGGUCUGCUUAACACAUGCAAGUCGAACGCAACCUUCGGGUUGAGUGGCGGACGGGUGAGUAACGCGUGAGAAUCUGCCUUGGGGUCGGGGACAACCACUGGAAACGGUGGCUAAUACCGGAUAAGCCUUUGGGUAAAAGAUUUAUUGCCCCAAGAGGAGCUCGCGUCUGAUUAGCUAGUUGGUGAGGUAAAAGCUCACCAAGGCAGCGAUCAGUAGCUGGUCUGAGAGGACGAUCAGCCACACUGGGACUGAGACACGGCCCAGACUCCUACGGGAGGCAGCAGUGGGGAAUUUUCCGCAAUGGGCGAAAGCCUGACGGAGCAAGACCGCGUGAGGGAGGAAGGCUCUUGGGUUGUAAACCUCUUUUCUCAGGGAAGAAGCUCUGACGGUACCUGAGGAACCAGCCUCGGCUAACUCCGUGCCAGCAGCCGCGGUAAUACGGAGGAGGCAAGCGUUAUCCGGAAUUAUUGGGCGUAAAGCGUCCGCAGGUGGCGAUUCAAGUCUGCUGUCAAAGCACGGGGCUUAACUCCGUUAAGGCAGUGGAAACUGAAUAGCUAGAGUGCCGUAGGGGUAGAGGGAAUUCCCGGUGUAGCGGUGAAAUGCGUAGAGAUCGGGAAGAACAUCGGUGGCGAAAGCGCUCUACUGGACGGCAACUGACACUCAGGGACGAAAGCUAGGGGAGCGAAUGGGAUUAGAUACCCCAGUAGUCCUAGCUGUAAACGAUGGAUACUAGGUGUAGCUUGUAUCGACCCGAGCUGUGCCGAAGCUAACGCGUUAAGUAUCCCGNCUGGGGAGUACGCACGCAAGUGUGAAAC
Molecule: ribosomal RNA, 834 nt
Filed under: uncultured organism
Description: bacterial SSU rRNA
Rfam family: Bacterial small subunit ribosomal RNA
Source: RNAcentral